Myotis brandtii (Brandt's bat) is the source of this 571-nucleotide long non-coding RNA. RefSeq lists it as uncharacterized. The record is from RefSeq and is a predicted model, not a curated record. The transcript has 2 exons. Lineage: Eukaryota; Metazoa; Chordata; Mammalia; Chiroptera; Vespertilionidae.
CGGGCGAUGUGCGGCUGCGUGCCUUGUGGUGCCACGAGGGAGGGGGAGGGGAGGACCAGCGAGGUGCGGUCCCCCUCCUCCCUGCGACCUCCGGUCCUGACCUCCAGCACCCGACCAGGACGCCCCUGCACUUCCUGGGCCCUUUCUCGGGUUCUCACUCUGGGCCUAGGCCCCGCCCAAAGGACAAAGGGAGCCGGAGGAGACCUCCUGGUGUUUCGGCAAAGCCAGCCCCCUCCGGAUUAUUCCCUUGCUCCCAAAGCAGAGUGACCUUUGCCUCAUAACCUUUGACUUCUGGCUUCUGAGACUCAUUUUUUCUGAUAGAAGUUCCCUUCCUGAUGGGUGCUGGUCCCUGAGUCUCCCUUUUGUCAAAUGGUUCCUGGAUGGACACCGCCUCCUGGGAGCCUUCCCUGACCGCCCCAGGCAGGGCAGCUCCAGCACUGCCACCCUGUGUGAAGAGGAUCCAUUCACCCAUCUGCCUCCCUGACGUGACCAGAGUGGUGAAUAUCUCUCACUAGUCCAGUGUUGCACAGGCCGUAUUGAGUUGGUGCUCAAUAAAUGCUUAUUGUGUUCA